GACGAACGCUGGCGGCGUGCUUAACACAUGCAAGUCGAACGAUGAAGCCGGAGCUUGCUCUGGUGAAUUAGUGGCGAACGGGUGAGUAACACGUGAGUAACCUGCCCUUGACUCUGGGAUAACUGCUAGAAAUGGUAGCUAAUACCGGAUACGACCCUCGGAGGCAUCUUCAGGGGGUGGAAAGAAUUUCGGUCAAGGAUGGACUCGCGGCCUAUCAGCUAGUUGGUGAGGUAAUGGCUCACCAAGGCGAUGACGGGUAGCCGGCCGGGGAGGGUGACCGGCCAACCGGGGACUGAGACACGGCCCAGACUCCUACGGGAGGCAGCAGUGGGGAAUAUUGCACAAUGGGCGCAAGCCUGAUGCAGCAACGCCGCGUGAGGGAUGACGGCCUUCGGGUUGUAAACCUCUUUUAGUAGGGAAGAAGCGAAAGUGACGGUACCUGCAGAAAAAGCACCGGCUAACUACGUGCCAGCCGCCGCCGUAA
RNAcentral lists this ribosomal RNA (484 nucleotides) under uncultured bacterium. RNAcentral's name for it is "partial 16S ribosomal RNA". It matches the Rfam family "Bacterial small subunit ribosomal RNA", at positions 28 to 523 of the family's 1533-position model. The record is from RNAcentral.